AUGUUUAGGAGGAUGUUCCAAGGUGGACCUUCAAGGAAGCAAGGUCCCAGACUUGCAAUACGUGAUGCUGACGAGGAACCACCAAGAGAUGCUCCUGUGAGGCCCUAUGAAUGGCCUUCGGAAAAUUUUAUGAAUCAAGUGGGAAUCAAAGAAGAAUUUAGCGCAUAUUUGUGCAACGGCGGUCUUGAGGACUUUGAAGCUGACAAAUGCCACCAGUAUCAUGAUCUCACAAGUUCAUUUGUGAGGAGGUUUGAGUUUUCAUCUUCGCGUAAUUCUCCUUCAGUCAUGUUUGACCUUUAUGACAAAUCUUAUACCAUGGACUUAGAGGAUUUCACUUCUGCUUGCAAACUUCCAUCUUGGGGUAGUAUCAGAGAUCCCCCUAAAUCUGAAUAUAGAGACUUUCUUGCUAGAAUAACUGUGGGGGAAUCUAGAGAUAUAACACAAGCCACUUUAGGGAGCAUUCACUUUCCUGCUAUACACUAUUUUGCUCUCUUUAUAGGUAGAUGCAUAAAUGCUAAGGAUGAAGCAUGUCACUUGUGUGUCCCUGACCUCACAUUCUCAGAAGUGCUGUGUUAG
This 576-nucleotide ribosomal RNA is filed under the name Triticum aestivum (bread wheat). RNAcentral describes it as "partial small subunit ribosomal RNA". Lineage: Eukaryota; Viridiplantae; Streptophyta; Magnoliopsida; Poales; Poaceae. The record is from RNAcentral.